Long non-coding RNA from Biomphalaria glabrata, 1324 nucleotides. RefSeq lists it as uncharacterized. The transcript has 9 exons. The record is from RefSeq and is a predicted model, not a curated record. NCBI's taxonomy places the organism in Eukaryota, Metazoa, Mollusca, Gastropoda, Planorbidae.
UAUCAUGGCUUAUGAUUAUCUCAUCUCCGCACCAUGUUGGAAUGGAUUUUUUGAAAGCCUUCAAAAUGAAACAUAUUUAGGCUUAUGAAUAAGAUUCUAAUGGGAAUAUUAAUGUUUCAGCUGUAGAAUAUGGAUAUAAAUAAUGAUUGGGAAUAGAGAUGUAAUUCUGCUGUGUCCCCGUGAGUUGGAAACCAGUAAGCAAGUCUUCUAAUAGAGGUCUGAUAGAGUCAUGUACAUCAAGCGAUCAGCACUAAAAGAUGUGGACCUGAUGUGGUGUCAAGCUGAUGAAGCUUUUGCUUUCUUCUUUUGGCUGUUCGUUUAACACAAGACAAAGCACAGACUGAUCGUCAUACCAUUUUAAGAUCCUGGGAUGUGAAAGACUUUGCACCGGACUGUCGUCAGUAUCUUUACCUCUUCCAUGCCGGCAAUAAAAUACAUCUGAAACUUGUUGGGGAGACUAACGCUCUGAAAACAAUAAAUUGGGAAAAAAAGAUUUGAAUGCUGGGACAAGAAGCCCCUGGAUGAGGCUGCCAAGUGAUUGGUUCAAAUUUCACACAGUUCAGGCCAAACUCUUAGGCCCUUACUCAAAUAGAGUAAUGUUAUUAAUAUAUUUACAUUUUGACAUCAAAGUUUGUACUUCACCGAUCAUAUUGUGCGUAAAGAUGGGUUAGGUUAGAUGAGUUCAGCUUUGCCUUGUUAGCCAACAACUGUCUGUAUCCUGGACUGUCCACACUUGUAUUAUUGCUGGUACACUUUCAGCAGUGAGCCAUAGCAGCAGACGUAUAGAAGGCAUGCUGGGAAUGAAAUUCAUCACAUACAGCUGCAAAAAAUUGUUUUCAUUGGUAAUUAUGUGGGCUACACUUACCCACAAGCCUCAGCUGAUGCUCACCAAAGGUAUACCUGCUAGCACGGCGUUGCAGUAGUCAAGGCAAGAGAGUAUGAAUGCCACAGCUAGUGUUUUUGUUGAGUCCGUUGUUAAAUAUGGUUGGAUCUUGUGUUAAAAUGAUGUUAUAAUAAUACAAGAUACAUCAGUAUCUGGUCAGCAUGAAAGAGAGAUGAGUGCUGAUGUUGGAAAGCCCAGCUAUCACACAUUUUAUGCGCAGAUUUUUCCCCAGUAAUGGAGAGAAUGUUGAGUCAGAUAUUGAAGCCAGAGCUUUGUAUCUAAGUCAAAGACCACUAGUAUUUGACAGUGUUUACAGAGGACAAGAUGUCCCAGCUCAGUCCAAAAUUCAUAAAGACUGUGUCUCAGCGAAGCAUAAGAGUUGAUCUUGGAUUCAAACAGUCAAUGAAUGUUUAGGCAUUCAUAGUGAAAAUACUGCUAACU